AUGAAUUUAAACUUAAUACAACCAAAUGUAGCUGCAUUCGCUCCUUUCCAUUAACUUCUUUAGAAUGAUUUAUUAACAACAGAUGAUUAAGUAAUAGAAGAAAAGAACCAAUUGGAUGAUGCUGACGAAUUUGGGUUAAACGUCCAGUGACAAAUAUCAUGUGCAUAUGAGAACGACAACACGUUAUAUGUGCCCUGUGUUGUAUUAGAAAGACACGUUCAGUCGGAUUUGAGAACAUGCUACUUUUUGCAGACACAAAAAUUAAGGCUGAUUGAAAUCGUUAAUAAUAAAUUCAUGCAUAUUCCAGCGGCC
RNAcentral lists this long non-coding RNA (312 nucleotides) under Mytilus galloprovincialis (Mediterranean mussel). The record is from RNAcentral. Lineage: Eukaryota; Metazoa; Mollusca; Bivalvia; Mytilida; Mytilidae.